GUCCUUAUGUCUUCCAGUAUCCUGCUUAUGUCUGGAUUUUAUUCAUGGGAUUGCCUUUUAAAUUAUAGACUCGUAACUUAAAUUUCACUUUUUCUACUUGAUUUUGUUGAAUUGACCUAGUUUGUUCCUUGCUUUGAACUUCAUUUAUUUAUUUGAUCUUGUUAUUGUGUGUGUAUUUGUCUGUUCUUGUGUUCAUGUGUUGUAAAAUUAUUCCAUUCUUUUUGUUAACUUAUUAAAAUAUAUAUCUGCAUGUUUAUCUGUGUCAGCAUUUCCCUUGACUUUAGAACUUAGUUAUAUCAUUGAAGGACGUGUUUG
This 315-nucleotide unclassified non-coding RNA is filed under the name Hevea brasiliensis (rubber tree). Lineage: Eukaryota; Viridiplantae; Streptophyta; Magnoliopsida; Malpighiales; Euphorbiaceae. The record is from RNAcentral.